Molecule: ribosomal RNA, 274 nt
Filed under: uncultured bacterium
Lineage: Bacteria
Description: partial 16S ribosomal RNA
Rfam family: Bacterial small subunit ribosomal RNA
Source: RNAcentral
AUACGGAGGGGGCUAGCGUUGUUCGGAAUUACUGGGCGUAAAGCGCGCGUAGGCGGAUACUUAAGUCAGGGGUGAAAUCCCGAGGCUCAACCUCGGAACUGCCCUUGAUACUGGGUAUCUUGAGUUCGAGAGAGGUAAGUGGAAUUCCGAGUGUAGAGGUGAAAUUCGUAGAUAUUCGGAGGAACACCAGAGGCGAAGGCGGCUUACUGGCUCGAUACUGACGCUGAGGCGCGAAAGCGUGGGUAGCAAACAGGAUUAGAUACCCCAGUAGUCC